GUUUGCCUUUGCCCCAGCUGAAGCACUUCCUCUUUGUAGAAGAAUCAGAGGCCUGCAAGAACUACUCAUCCUGCACCUGGAGUAAAACCAUAUGGCUUGGAAACAAAGUCUGCAGGCUUCGAGCCAGUUAACGGAGUGGCUUCAGAGGAGUAGACGUGUGUUCUGUUCAUGUCCGGUGUGUGCAGCACACUGAUGUUUGCAGGCCUUCCCCAGGGGCUCAGUGUUUAGCGGGACAUGGACACAGACACCUCACCACAGGCCCAUCUGAGAAGUGCUGUGCAGACCAGCAAGCUUUCACAGGAUGGUCACGCAAGAAUAGGAAGAAAGUCUGCAGCCUACGGAUGAUGUGCAGUUCUCCCCCAUGUCAAAAGAAAUCCAAGGAGUGCAAGAUCCACGAAUGUGCCUGCACAUUGUAUACAAUGAUAGAAAAUAAAGAAGGCCAUCUGCAUGUCCCAAGUUAAAUACAGUGUGACCCAGCCACUCUGGGAUACAUGUAGCUUUAAAGAGAAAUAGGUAAGUAUGCCUAGACAUGGGAAGAUGCCUAAAUUAGUAAUCAAAGGCUAUAUAACAAUAUCACUGUAAGCUAAGCAACUUGUAACAACCAGCAUUUAUUGUCUCCCAGUUUCUGUGGGUCAGGAGUCCAGGUACAGCUUACCUGGCCCUCCACAACCAAGGUGUGGGCUGGGGCUGCAGUCACAUCUGAGGCUUGACUGAGGAAGGACCUGCUUCCUCACUCACAUGGUUGUCAGCAACAUUCAGUUCCUUGUGUGCUGUGGGACUGAGGGCCUUAUUUCCUGCUGGCUGUUGGCCAGAGGCUGCCCUCAACUCCUUGUCACAGCAGCCCUCUCCAAGUGGCCACUUGCUUCCUCCAAGGUAACUAGGGAGUAUGUCUCCUAAGAAGACUGAUGUGAUCAUCUUA
RNAcentral lists this long non-coding RNA (919 nucleotides) under Rhinopithecus bieti (black snub-nosed monkey). RNAcentral's name for it is "lncRNA (ENSRBIG00000046549.1)". The record is from RNAcentral. Lineage: Eukaryota; Metazoa; Chordata; Mammalia; Primates; Cercopithecidae.